CCAGGUGAAGCAUAUGCCCUGCAAGCUUAGGGGUGCUGCAGUUGACCACUGCAGCAGUAAAGAUGACUGAAGAAUGGCAUGGGAUGGAUCCUUUCGAAUGCACUUGAGCAGCAGUCUCCCAACCACAGGGCCACAGAGCCAGAGCUGGAUCUACCAUGAAAGACUUCUGAAUCCAGGAAAAGAGACUGACUGGGUAACAUGUUAUUCAGGAGAUGGGGUCUCACCCUGUCACCCAGGCUUGAGUACAGU
Long non-coding RNA from Homo sapiens (human), 249 nucleotides. RefSeq lists it as uncharacterized. The transcript is spliced from 3 exons. The record is from RefSeq and is a predicted model, not a curated record. Lineage: Eukaryota; Metazoa; Chordata; Mammalia; Primates; Hominidae.